Molecule: ribosomal RNA, 450 nt
Filed under: uncultured bacterium
Lineage: Bacteria
Description: bacterial SSU rRNA
Rfam family: Bacterial small subunit ribosomal RNA
Source: RNAcentral
ACUCCUACGGGAGGCAGCAGUGGGGAAUAUUGCACAAUGGGCGCAAGCCUGAUGCAGCAACGCCGCGUGAGUGAUGAAGGCCUUCGGGUCGUAAAGCUCUGUCCUCAAGGAAGAAUAAAUGACGGUACUUGAGGAGGAAGCCCGGCUAACUACGUGCCAGCAGCCGCGGUAAUACGUAGGGGGCAAGCGUUAUCCGGAAUCACUGGGGCGUAAAGGGGUGCGUAGGCGGUUUUUCAAGUCAGAAGUGAAAGGCUAUGGCUCAACCAUAGUAAGCUUUUGAAACUGUUAAACUUGAGUGCAGGAGAGGAAAGUGGAAUUCCUAGUGUAGAGGUGAAAUUCGUAGAUAUUAGGAGGAACACCAGUGGCGAAGGCGACUUUCUGGACUGUAACUGACGCUGAGGCACGAAAGCGUGGGGAGCGAACAGGAUUAGAUACCCUGGUAGCACAGAG